CCUACGGGUGGCAGCAGUGGGGAAUAUUGCACAAUGGGGGAAACCCUGAUGCAGCGACGCCGCGUGAGUGAAGAAGUACCUCGGUAUGUAAAGCUCUAUCAGCAGGGAAGAAAAUGACGGUACCUGACUAAGAAGCCCCGGCUAACUACGUUCCAGCAGCCGGGGGUACACGUGGGGGGCAAGCGUUAUCCGGAUUUACUGGGGGUAAAGGGAGCGUAGUCGGGAACACAAGUCUGGAGUGAAAUCGCGGGGCUUAAACCCGGAAGUGCUUUGGAAACUGGGCGGCUGGAGUGCAGGAGGGGUAAGCGGAAUGCGUGGUGUAGCGGUGAAAUGCAUAGAUAUUAGGAGGAACUCCGGUGGCGAAGGCAGCUUACCGG
RNAcentral lists this ribosomal RNA (377 nucleotides) under uncultured bacterium. RNAcentral describes it as "partial 16S ribosomal RNA". It matches the Rfam family "Bacterial small subunit ribosomal RNA", at positions 338 to 732 of the family's 1533-position model. The record is from RNAcentral.